GACGAACGCUGGCGGCGUGCUUAACACAUGCAAGUCGAACGGAAAGGCCCUUCGGGGUACUCGAGUGGCGAACGGGUGAGUAACACGUGGGUGAUCUGCCCUGCACUUUGGGAUAAGCCUGGGAAACUGGGUCUAAUACCGAAUAGGACCACGCGCUUCAUGGUGUGUGGUGGAAAGCUUUUGCGGUGUGGGAUGGGCCCGCGGCCUAUCAGCUUGUUGGCGGGGUAAUGGCCUACCAAGGCGACGACGGGUAGCCGGCCUGAGAGGGUGACCGGCCACACUGGGACUGAGAUACGGCCCAGACUCCUACGGGAGGCAGCAGUGGGGAAUAUUGCACAAUGGGCGCAAGCCUGAUGCAGCGACGCCGCGUGAGGGAUGACGGCCUUCGGGUUGUAAACCUCUUUCAAUAGGGACGAAGCGCAAGUGACGGUACCUAUAGAAGAAGCACCGGCCAACUACGUG
This 462-nucleotide ribosomal RNA is filed under the name uncultured bacterium. RNAcentral's name for it is "partial 16S ribosomal RNA". It matches the Rfam family "Bacterial small subunit ribosomal RNA", at positions 28 to 507 of the family's 1533-position model. The record is from RNAcentral.